This 143-nucleotide unclassified non-coding RNA is filed under the name uncultured Cryptococcus. RNAcentral describes it as "sequence contains ITS1". The record is from RNAcentral. Lineage: Eukaryota; Fungi; Basidiomycota; Tremellomycetes.
UAGAUUGGCCGAAAGGCCGUGUCUUCAUCCACACACACCGUGAACAAACCAAGGUCUGGCAGUCAAACAUGGACUCUGCUCCACGUUGCCAGGCCCCACACACAAACAAGAUGUAAAGAAUGUAAACUAUCGUAACAAAAACA